This 72-nucleotide transfer RNA is filed under the name Candidatus Obscuribacterales bacterium. Its description in RNAcentral is "tRNA-Ile". It matches the Rfam family "tRNA". From Rfam's summary of the family: Transfer RNA (tRNA) molecules are approximately 80 nucleotides in length. Their secondary structure includes four short double-helical elements and three loops (D, anti-codon, and T loops). The record is from RNAcentral. Lineage: Bacteria; Bacillati; Candidatus Melainabacteria; Candidatus Obscuribacterales.
GGCUCCAUAGCUCAAUGGCAGAGCACGCGACUCAUAAUCGUUUGGUUGUAGGUUCGAAUCCCACUGGAGCCA